CACGUAGGCGGAUCUUUAAGUCAGGGGUGAAAUCCCGGGGCUCAACCUCGGAACUGCCCUUGAUACUACUGGUCUCGAGUCCGGAAGAGGUGAGUGGAAUUCCUAGUGUAGAGGUGAAAUUCGUAGAUAUUAGGAAGAACACCAGUGGCGAAGGCGGCUCACUGGUCCGGUACUGACGCUGAGGUGCGAAAGCGUGGGGAGCAAACA
This 207-nucleotide ribosomal RNA is filed under the name uncultured bacterium. RNAcentral's name for it is "partial 16S ribosomal RNA". It matches the Rfam family "Bacterial small subunit ribosomal RNA", at positions 568 to 774 of the family's 1533-position model. The record is from RNAcentral.